This 300-nucleotide ribosomal RNA is filed under the name uncultured Spiroplasma sp. Its description in RNAcentral is "bacterial SSU rRNA". It matches the Rfam family "Bacterial small subunit ribosomal RNA", at positions 496 to 795 of the family's 1533-position model. The record is from RNAcentral. Lineage: Bacteria; Bacillati; Mycoplasmatota; Mollicutes; Entomoplasmatales; Spiroplasmataceae.
GCGAAGCGCGGGGCAGGAGGCGGGGUGAUACGUGGGGUGCAAGCGUUACUCGGAAGAACGGGGGGUAAAGAGCAUGUAGGGGGAUUAAUAAGUUUGAAGUGAAAUCCUAUAGCUUAACUAGAGAACUGCUUUGAAAACUGUUAAUCUAGAAUGUGGGAGAGGUAGAUGGAAUUUCUGGUGUAGGGGUAAAAUCCGUAGAGAUCAGAAGGAAUACCGAUUGCGAAGGCGAUCUACUGGAACAUUAUUGACGCUGAGAUGCGAAAGCGUGGGGAGCAAACAGGAUUAGAUACCCCGGUAGUC